This is an RNA transcript of Dermacentor albipictus, 731 nucleotides long. RefSeq lists it as uncharacterized. The record is from RefSeq and is a predicted model, not a curated record. Lineage: Eukaryota; Metazoa; Arthropoda; Arachnida; Ixodida; Ixodidae.
GUGAUCGCGACAAUACGGUUAGACACAUCUGAUCCUUCGUCAGAUACGCGCACCUUCUUGUCAUUUCAAUCGAAUGCACUUAAGCGGAGCUAGAAUGAAGACCGGUUUUGUGCUGUGUUUCUGCCUUGGCAUCGUCUGCCUGGUAGCCGCCGACGAGGCCGAAGAUGUGGCAAAGCUCAUUGAGCAGAACGUUCGCGAAAACGCUGGAAGUGAUGAACUUGCGGAGAGACUACUGGCAACAUCGAAGCUCAUUCAGGAAUGCGCCGCAGAACACAAGGAAGAUGGCAUCGCACUGCUUAAAAAGUUCACUGUGCCCGUAUCUAAAGAGGGAACGCGAUGCGUCGCAACUAAAUCUGGAAUCACAGACGCCGCUGAAAGAGACGCUGCUGAGAAAGAAUGCUGGCGGGAAGCUUCAAAACGUCAGAAGGAAGCAACUCCACUAACGGAGAAAGAAACUGUCAUCUACGACGCCAUCAAGGUUUGUUUUCUUGCGAAACUGGCUGCGCUGGAUGCUAGCAAGCCUUGAAGAGCAGCAACAGCCCACAAGCGUUCACCAAGUUUAACUACUUGUACUGCUUGACCGAGGACUGCGUUCGCCCCAAACGGAAACAGUGAAGGCUUCAGACAACAGCACCUAGAUGCAAUUUGUUCGCUCACUCAAACCAUAUGGAACCACUUGAAGCAAAGAACUUCCUUCUGUUAUUGUUCAUCAAUCGCAAUAAAUAAAUUCA